CCGUCUACUCUUGGCCAGCCUUCUGAAAGGAAGAUUAAUCCAGGAUGGGAUCAUGAGUUCACAUGUCCGCAUGAUUAAAGGUAUUUUCCGGUAGACGAUGGGGAUGCGUUCCAUUAGAUAGUAGGCGGGGUAACGGCCCACCUAGUCAACGAUGGAUAGGGGUUCUGAGAGGAAGGUCCCCCACAUUGGAACUGAGACACGGUCCAAACUCCUACGGGAGGCAGCAGUGAGGAAUAUUGGUCAAUGGGCGAUGGCCUGAACCAGCCAAGUAGCGUGAAGGAUGACUGCCCUAUGGGUUGUAAACUUCUUUUAUAAAGGAAUAAAGUCGGGUAUGCAUACCCGUUUGCAUGUACUUUAUGAAUAAGGAUCGGCUAACUCCGUGCCAGCAGCCGCGGUAAUACGGAGGAUCCGAGCGUUAUCCGGAUUUAUUGGGUUUAAAGGGAGCGUAGAUGGAUGUUUAAGUCAGUUGUGAAAGUUUGCGGCUCAACCGUAAAAUUGCAGUUGAUACUGGAUGUCUUGAGUGCAGUUGAGGCAGGCGGAAUUCGUGGUGUAGCGGUGAAAUGCUUAGAUAUCACGAAGAACUCCGAUUGCGAAGGCAGCCUGCUAAGCUGCAACUGACAUUGAGGCUCGAAAGUGUGGGUAUCAAACAGGAUUAGAUACCCUGGUAGUCCACACGGUAAACGAUGAAUACUCGCUGUUUGCGAUAUACGGCAAGCGGCC
Molecule: ribosomal RNA, 720 nt
Filed under: uncultured bacterium
Lineage: Bacteria
Description: bacterial SSU rRNA
Rfam family: Bacterial small subunit ribosomal RNA
Source: RNAcentral